CUGGGAAGAUAACGGAGGUUGUUUGCCCGCCUUGGACGCGGGAGGUCGCAGGUUCGAAUCCUGCUUCCCAGA
This 72-nucleotide transfer RNA is filed under the name Flavobacterium sp. Its description in RNAcentral is "tRNA-Pro". It matches the Rfam family "tRNA". Rfam says of the family: Transfer RNA (tRNA) molecules are approximately 80 nucleotides in length. RNAcentral also lists the same sequence under 6 other names. Lineage: Bacteria; Pseudomonadati; Bacteroidota; Flavobacteriia; Flavobacteriales; Flavobacteriaceae. The record is from RNAcentral.